UGACAGGUGGUGGCAUGGUUGUCGUCAGCUCGUGUCGUGAGAUGUUGGUUAAGUCCGCAACGAGCGCAACCCCUAUUGUUAGUUGCCAUCAUUCAGUUGGGCACUCUAGCGAGACUGCCGGUAAUAAACCGGAGGAAGGUGGGGAUGACGUCAAAUCAUCAUGCCCCUUAUGACCUGGGCUACACACGUGCUACGAUGGUUGGUACAACGAGUUGCGAGUCGGUGACGGCGAGCUAAUCUCUUAAAGCCAAUCUCAGUUCGGAUUGUAGGCUGCAACUCGCCUACAUGAAGUCGGAAUCGCUAGUAAUCGCGGAUCAGCACGCCGCGGUGAAUACGUUCCCGGGCCUU
RNAcentral lists this ribosomal RNA (348 nucleotides) under uncultured Streptococcus sp. RNAcentral's name for it is "bacterial SSU rRNA". It matches the Rfam family "Bacterial small subunit ribosomal RNA", at positions 1032 to 1382 of the family's 1533-position model. Lineage: Bacteria; Bacillati; Bacillota; Bacilli; Lactobacillales; Streptococcaceae. The record is from RNAcentral.